UGAGGAACAUGACCUCGGCGGGGGAUAGCCGGCCCAACGGCCGGGUAAUACCGCGUACGACCACAUGGGGACAUCCCUGAGUGGUGAAAGCAGCAAUGCGCCGAUGGAGUGCCUCGCGGCCUAUCAGCUAGUUGGUGAGGUAACGGCUCACCAAGGCAACGAUGCGUAGCCGACCUGAGGAGGGUGACUCCGGCCACAGUUGGAACUGAGACACGGUCCAGACCUGUACCGGGGA
This 235-nucleotide ribosomal RNA is filed under the name uncultured bacterium. RNAcentral describes it as "partial 16S ribosomal RNA". It matches the Rfam family "Bacterial small subunit ribosomal RNA", at positions 118 to 347 of the family's 1533-position model. The record is from RNAcentral.